CCCCAUUUUAACACUACCUGCCCUACAACAAAACCCACCUUUUGAAGAACGAUACCCAUUUACCCAUUAAUUAUUACCCAUUAACAUUUUAUUGCUUAUAUAAAUGUUCACCAUUGAGCACAUGCAUUACCAGUUGGGAAAUAGGCACAUACCCACCCUUAUAAUAAUGAACAACUCAAACCAUGUUUUAUUAGAUUAACCAAUGAUAUUGUGUUCAUGUGAGGAUGUGUUUUGGAGCUAAAUAUAGUAUUAGACACCACAAACUCAUAACACCUAUGAAUCAUGGCACAGACCGACUCGAUUUCUGUAGCCUCUGGCUGGUCUGUGUGCCUGGAAUUUUCACAAACAUUAGUCCUGGAAACUGGAUACUCUAUUCUUCGACAGUCUCAUAGAACAUACGCAUGGAGACAGGGAUGAAUGAAACAGUUCAUGUGAUCAAGGACUUUUGUGUGUUUGUGGUCACAUUGUUUUGUUUUUUCUUUCUUUAUACCAUUAACCACCUUGACGUAACAGUUUCCUGCUCCUGAUGCAUUUUGUUCCGACUCUCACCACUCUUAGCUGCAAUAUUUUUUCUCCUUACAGCAACAGUUGAGCAUAGUGUCCAGUGCUUCUUCUUCUUCUGCUUCUGCUUAAAAUAUCCUUGCUUGAAAGUUCUUGAAUGAAAACACAGGCAAUGACGAACACAAACAUAAAUAAUAACUGUGCCAAUCAUCACAAGUACUAUUUGAUUGUGGUGUCUUAACCAUAUUUUUUCCUAUGGCGUUUGGAUAAAUACCUACACACCUCUCUUCACAUCCAGCACACUCCUGAUUCACAGAUAAACACAAUAUCACUGCUGUAUCUACCAAUUUAACCCAAACACUCGUUAUUACUGCUGCAUUUACCAAUUUAAUCUAAACACUCGUUAUCACUGCCGUAUUUAACCAAUUUAAUCUAAACAUUAAUCAAAACAAUUACAUUCCUAUUUACCACCCUUCUAUUUAAACAUGUAUAGAUAACCCAAAAUGCCUACUUUCUC
Molecule: non-coding RNA, 1018 nt
Organism: Pelobates cultripes (western spadefoot toad)
Lineage: Eukaryota; Metazoa; Chordata; Amphibia; Anura; Pelobatidae
Source: the annotation of a GenBank genome assembly